RNAcentral lists this ribosomal RNA (497 nucleotides) under uncultured bacterium. Its description in RNAcentral is "partial 16S ribosomal RNA". It matches the Rfam family "Bacterial small subunit ribosomal RNA", at positions 28 to 507 of the family's 1533-position model. The record is from RNAcentral.
GAUGAACGCUGGCGGCGUGCCUAAUACAUGCAAGUCGAGCGAACGGACCAGAAGUUUGCUUCUCCGAUGUUAGCGCCGGUCGGGUGCUUCCCUUGUGGAUAACCUACCUCUACGACUGGGAUACCUUCGGGAAACCGGAGCUACUACCGGAAAAUAUUUUGAACUUCAUUGUUCACAAGUGAAAGUCGGUCUUGCUGUCACUUAUAGAUUGCUCCGCACUGCAUUCGCUAGUUGGUAAGGUAACGGCUUAACAAGGCAACGAUGCAUAGCCGACCUGAGAGGGUGGUCGGCCAGACGGGAAGUGAGGAACGGCCGCGACACCUACAGGAGGCAGCAGUAGGGAAUCUUCCGCGAUGGAGGAGAGCCGGACGGAGCAACGCCGGGGGAGUGAUGAAGGUGUUCGGAUCGGAAAGCUCUGAUAUUAGGGAGGAUGAUAUGUGUAUGUAACUGUGAAGAUAUUGACGGUACCUAAUGAGAAAGCCACGGCUAACUACGUG